This 98-nucleotide ribosomal RNA is filed under the name Heterorhabditis sp. EPNKU29. RNAcentral's name for it is "partial 28S ribosomal RNA". It matches the Rfam family "Eukaryotic large subunit ribosomal RNA", at positions 1 to 90 of the family's 3401-position model. Lineage: Eukaryota; Metazoa; Nematoda; Chromadorea; Rhabditida; Heterorhabditidae. The record is from RNAcentral.
UGCAUUUGCAACCUGAGCUCAGACGUGAUUACCCGCUGAACUUAAGCAUAUCAUUUAGCGGAGGAAAAGAAACUAACUAGGAUUCCCUUAGUAACGGC